Molecule: unclassified non-coding RNA, 347 nt
Filed under: soil metagenome
Description: partial contains 5.8S ribosomal RNA, internal transcribed spacer 2, and large subunit ribosomal RNA
Rfam family: 5.8S ribosomal RNA (bases 1-119)
Source: RNAcentral
GAUGAAGACGCAGCAAAAUGCGAUAAGUAAUGUGAAUUGCAGAAUUCAGUGAAUCAUCGAAUCUUUGAACGCACAUUGCGCCCGCUGGUAUUCCGGCGGGCAUGCCUGUUCGAGCGUCAUUUCAACCCUCAAGCCCCCGGGUUUGGUGUUGGGGAUCGGCUCUGCCCUUCUGGGCGGUGCCGCCCCCGAAAUACAUUGGCGGUCUCGCUGCAGCCUCCAUUGCGUAGUAGCUAACACCUCGCAACUGGAACGCGGCGCGGCCAUGCCGUAAAACCCCAACUUCUGAAUGUUGACCUCGGAUCAGGUAGGAAUACCCGCUGAACUUAAGCAUAUCAAUAAGCGGAGGA